This 1058-nucleotide long non-coding RNA is filed under the name Salvia miltiorrhiza (redroot sage). Its description in RNAcentral is "long non-coding RNA (SMIL_LNC004234)". Lineage: Eukaryota; Viridiplantae; Streptophyta; Magnoliopsida; Lamiales; Lamiaceae. The record is from RNAcentral.
CGGCCGAGCCGAUGCAAAUUUCUCACGAGUUAUCUACUAUAAUUGUGGCCAAAACCUUUGGUCAUAAACACGUCAAUCCUUUUACCGAUAAAUUCCUCGCCAAUUGCCACAUGUUUCAAUUUUAUGAUUUUAGGAUUUGAAGUUUUGUUUGGCCUUUUCAUUUGUUAAAGGUCAAUUGAUUAUUUGCGAAAUUGAAUCUGAUGAAAUCUUUUAUGGAAUUAUACAGCGGAAACUUUAUGGAAAUUGGUAUAAAUAAAUGUUGCAACUAUUUUAUUGUUAAAAAUUUCGAAGUCUCUUCUAGCAUUUAUUUUGAAUGAGUUUUGCACAAAGGAGCAGUGUAUGUGUGCUUAUGUAUUGUUUUGAUUGAGUAAAAGUUUGCUGCUUAAAUAUUGAUGGCAUUUUUUUGCCUUUGUUGUGCGCGGAUUUAUUGAUGUUUUUAGUUCUCAAAUUAGAUCACGCAUCUAUGGCGAUAAAACAGAAAUGUUUUUUUAGUUGCAAUCUAUUGUUGAAUGCUUGAAUAGUUGACUAGCAGGAGCCUUUGUUUACGAGUAUUAGUAUGAGAAAGGCGGUAAUACUUAACAUAAGUAGUUGAAAAUUAAUGUGUACAAUGAUGAAGAACAAUAGCUCCAACAUUGUAACUUAGGACUGUAAUUUUUGUAAUUUUGGUAACUGUCGCGCUCGCAAAUACUCUAUUCUUUGUGAUGCUAGCUUGAUGAAAUUAAGAUUAUGUAGCUGUAUUUUGCAGCCUUGUGUGUGACUCAGAAAAGGCGGCGUCAUUGGAGAUGGACAAAGUUCAUGAUUCUUCUAACUCAUUAUGUGUGUGUGUGUCUGUCUGUGUGUGUGUGUUCGUUUUUUGUCAGUUGUUUAGGAUAUACUGCCAUUAUAAGUUCUCUGAUAAACAUUUCAAUUUUAUUUUUGCUGGGGAUGUGAGGCGAAUAAGUAAUCUUGAAUCUCUUUUCUUUCAUGAUAAACCUAUUCCUGAGGAAAUAAUUGAGAAGUAUUGGGCUUGCCUUGGGUGAGAAAAAUGUUGGAGUAAAUCCUCUAUGCCUUGUCUGCAA